GAACUGCUGAAGAGUCCCAAAUUCGGACGAAACAGCUGUCCAGUAC
Molecule: non-coding RNA, 46 nt
Filed under: Trichobilharzia regenti
Lineage: Eukaryota; Metazoa; Platyhelminthes; Trematoda; Strigeidida; Schistosomatidae
Source: RNAcentral